This 119-nucleotide ribosomal RNA is filed under the name Amphritea japonica ATCC BAA-1530. Lineage: Bacteria; Pseudomonadati; Pseudomonadota; Gammaproteobacteria; Oceanospirillales; Oceanospirillaceae. The record is from RNAcentral.
UUGCUUGGCGACCAUAGCGAGAUGGAACCACCCGAUCCCUUACCGAACUCGGAAGUGAAACGUCUUAGCGCCAAUGGUAGUGUAGGGUUUCCUUAUGCGAGAGUAGGUCAUCGCCAAGC